RNAcentral lists this ribosomal RNA (497 nucleotides) under uncultured bacterium. Its description in RNAcentral is "partial 16S ribosomal RNA". It matches the Rfam family "Bacterial small subunit ribosomal RNA", at positions 28 to 507 of the family's 1533-position model. The record is from RNAcentral.
GAUGAACGCUGGCGGCGUGCCUAAUACAUGCAAGUCGAGCGAACAGACGAGGAGCUUACUCCUCUGACGUUAGCGGCGGACGGGUGAGUAACACGUGGAUAACCUACCUAUAAGACUGGGAUAACUUCGGGAAACCGGAGCUAAUACCGGAUAACAUGUUGAACCGCAUGGUUCAACAGUGAAAGACGGUCUUGCUGUCACUUAUAGAUGGAUCCGCGUCGCAUUAGCUAGUUGGUAAGGUAGCGGCUUACCAAGGCAACGAUGCGUAGCCGACCUGAGAGGGUGAUCGGCCACACUGGAACUGAGACACGGUCCAGACUCCUACGGGAGGCAGCAGUAGGGAAUCUUCCGCAAUGGGCGAAAGCCUGACGGAGCAACGCCGCGUGAGUGAAGAAGGUCUUCGGAUCGUAAAACUCUGUUAUUAGGGAAGAACAAAUGUGUAAGUAACUAUGCACGUCUUGACGGUACCUAAUCAGAAAGCCACGGCUAACUACGUG